RNAcentral lists this non-coding RNA (27 nucleotides) under Homo sapiens (human). The record is from RNAcentral. Lineage: Eukaryota; Metazoa; Chordata; Mammalia; Primates; Hominidae.
AAGAUGCACAUAGACUUUAGUUGCCAA